This 253-nucleotide unclassified non-coding RNA is filed under the name uncultured Caryophanales bacterium. RNAcentral describes it as "uncultured Bacillales bacterium contains 16S-23S intergenic spacer region". It matches the Rfam family "Bacterial small subunit ribosomal RNA", at positions 524 to 776 of the family's 1533-position model. The record is from RNAcentral. Lineage: Bacteria; Bacillati; Bacillota; Bacilli; Caryophanales.
UACGUAGGUGGCAAGCGUUGUCCGGAAUUAUUGGGCGUAAAGGGCACGUAGGCGGCGAUGCGGGUCAGAUGUGAAAGCCCCGGGCUCAACCUGGGAGGGCCAUUGGAAACUGGGAGGCUUGAGUAUAGGAGAGAAGAGUGGAAUUCCACGUGUAGCGGUGAAAUGCGUAGAGAUGUGGAGGAACACCAGUGGCGAAGGCGACUCUUUGGCCUAUAACUGACGCUGAGGCGCGAAAGCGUGGGGAGCAAACAGG